RNAcentral lists this ribosomal RNA (489 nucleotides) under uncultured Corynebacterium sp. RNAcentral's name for it is "partial 16S ribosomal RNA". Lineage: Bacteria; Bacillati; Actinomycetota; Actinomycetes; Mycobacteriales; Corynebacteriaceae. The record is from RNAcentral.
CACGUAGUUAGCCGGUGCUUCUUAUACAGGUACCGUCACUUACGCUUCGUCCCUGUCGAAAGGAGUUUACAACCCGAAGGCCGUCAUCCCCCACGCGGCGUCGCUGCAUCAGGCUUCCGCCCAUUGUGCAAUAUUCCCCCACUGCUGCCUCCCGUAGGAGUCUGGGCCGUAUCUCAGUCCCAAUGUGGCCGUACACCCUCUCAGGCCGGCUACCCGUCGACGCCUUGGUAGGCCAUUACCCCACCAACAAGCUGAUAGGCCGCGAGCUCAUCUUGCACCGAAAAAACUUUCCAACCACCACACUAAAAGUGGCUCAUAUCCGGUAUUAGACCCAGUUUCCCAAGCUUAUCCCAGAGUGCAAGGCAGAUCACCCACGUGUUACUCACCCGUUCGCCACUCGAGUACCAGUGCAAGCACUGGCCUUUCGUCGACUUGCAUGUGUUAAGCACGCCGCCAGCGUUCGUCCUGACGUCCAGGACUCGAAACUCU